Long non-coding RNA from Aegilops tauschii subsp. strangulata, 1489 nucleotides. RefSeq lists it as uncharacterized. The record is from RefSeq and is a predicted model, not a curated record. Lineage: Eukaryota; Viridiplantae; Streptophyta; Magnoliopsida; Poales; Poaceae.
GUCACGGUGUCCUUAAGCACAAUGCUACUCAUUUGUUCCGAAUCUUCAAUUGUUAACUUAAUAAAUACAAUUCGCAGUAAAGAAAUUGGGGCAAGGUAAUGGGCAACUAUACACAUUCCACAGACUCAGUGAAUUAUACACCUUCCACACGCUCAGUAAAAUAUAUAGUAAUGUGUUUCAUUUCCGCCGCAGGUCUCACCAUCACAGGGUAUCCCCUCAUGCUUCUCCCUCAACUCUCCCAAUAGGCCACAAGGGUGAUUGAUAAAAAAUUCCAAGCAGGCUCCACGUGAGGUGAAUCAAGGCUGGUUGAUGUGCUUUGAUUCGUGAUCUGGGUCGGCGCAUCUGUCGUUUUCAGUUGCAAAGAUGUAAAAAGCUAUUCAGGGUCUGCAUCCUGCCCAGCAGGUUCUUUGUUAUGACGCAAGAGGAAUUCCUUUCUUAUUGACCCUUCAAGUGGGAGUCGUUUAGAAGCAGCUUUCGUGCUUUUGCUUUCUUCUGGAACUCCAUGCAGAUUCUGAGUCCAGGGAGUGUAUUUGGCCCUCAGAAAUAAAUAACUUUGUUAUGGUUUUUGAUAAAAGAAAUAUGGACUUCCAAAUAGCUUGGAAGUUAUCGAUUAUAUGCAGCAAGGCCAUUUGAUCAAGUUGGCUCUUUCUUGACACCAUUUUCUAUGCAAGCUAUUUGAAUACAUAUUUUUCAAGACAAAGUACAGAAGUGUGUUUGGGUGAGGCCUAGAUUAAACAUCUCGCAUUUUGUUUCAGAAAUCAUCUCUACUUAAGUCCAAGAGGUCACCAGGUGAAGGGAUGGAUAAACUAUCAGGUUGCAUUAAUUUGGAUCUAUGAAACUGGUAAAAGGAUUAUAGUUGCUGCAACUCCUAAGGUCAAGCCUGUUACAUUGGAACUUGGUGAAGAAGUCGUAUUAGAGUAUGUUGACAUUGGCAAAAGGUACAUGACGCAUGCUGAGACAUAUAUACGCUGUGUGAGGCAGAGGUUAAAUGCUCUGUAAAUAAAGAGAGACAACAAGGAUUGGGAUGAAGAGGUGGAUAAGUUUGUGGCUUUACUUACUGAAUGUCCAGAUCCGUCUUGCUUCUCAGCCAAGGCCUACAUUUAUAGAAGACAUAUUCAUAUAAUGUUGUGUGCUGCAGGUGUCUAUACACGGGAACCAAAGAAGGCAACUCAGCAGUUUCUCCCUACCAUAAUCAAGAUUCACAAUGAUAGGAGGGCAGAGAGAUCAUGCUUCCAUGGAAUCCAUCCGUUUUCAUUCCCUUGCUGCUUUCUUGUUUCUUGAUAUUCAAUAGUCAUAUACCUUUAGGACUUGGGAUGCGAUUUCACAUGCAUCGCUGAUGAUAGUUGAUGCUUUUGCCGGUUCAUGAUGAGCUAUUUUUGUGUAAAGUUGCUAUGCAUGGCUCAGUUUUAUUGAGCUUAGAUGAAAAUUUGAGUGGACCACCUAAAUUCAUACAAAAAAGGGGGCCAAGUACAGCCCCAUAUUAGAGACA